This is a long non-coding RNA of Felis catus (domestic cat), 3020 nucleotides long. RefSeq lists it as uncharacterized. The record is from RefSeq and is a predicted model, not a curated record. The transcript has 3 exons. Lineage: Eukaryota; Metazoa; Chordata; Mammalia; Carnivora; Felidae.
UGUGUAAGGGGCAUUAAGGAAUCUAUAUUGUUGCACUAUACGCUAACUUGCAUAUAAAGUCAAGAAAAUAAAUAUAAACAAAAAAAGAAGAUCCAGACGCUUGGGGGACAUUCCCUCCGGGCCGCUCUCUUCUGGGGCUGAGCUGGAGCCAUCCUGUGGACAGAGCUUGUGUCCCCAGACCUCCACAGUCCCCACUGCUCCCUAAGCUCCCCCUGCCUCUCCAGACUCGGCCCCUGGAGUCAUCUGAGUUUGCUGUCCUCCCUGCUGCCUCAUGGAGCUUCACCUCCUCAUCUGGGCAUGAGCCACAGCCAUGUCAGCCUGCCCCAGUCCCUGGCCAGGGGUCUCAAUGGGCUGAGAAGGUAGCCCUCAAGGCCGGCCCUGCAGAGGCAGCUGAGAAGGGGAGGAGGUGGGCCAGGCGUUGGGAACAAGGGCUCUGGGAAGUGUCCCCAAGGUAUGCCACGGCUUCUGACUUCCCAAGAUCCACCCUAACAGUCCCUCAUACGGCCCUCCAUCAGGCAUUUGCAGACCCCAGCCAGCGGGUGUCUGUGGUCCCAAGGUCAACACUGAGGGCACACAGCAGCAGACGCCCGGCCCAACGCUCCAGUUCUGGCAUGUAUAGCUCAUGUAUGGCACAUGUGCUCAUGUAUAGCACAGCAUCCUGUGAGGUGGCUGUGGCCAGGCCCACUUGCAGGGAGACAAGGGGCUUGCCCGAGGUCAUGCACACUAAUAGGGGUUAGAACCUCAGUCUGCCAGUCUAUAAAGCUGCCCCUCAAAAAGCAGACCAUGUCCCCAGGAGACUGGUCAUCAGGCAGUUACAAUCAGGUGAUUUGAGUAUAGAUGGGGUGAGUGUGUCAGGGUGGGGCGUGGGCAGUGGGCAGGCAGGGUCGGAAGAGCAGAGUCCUGAAGGGGGAGGGGCUUUGCUAGGUGCUGAGGACCCAGCUUGUGCAAAGGCCCAGGGGUGGGAUGCAAUGGGGGCGACAGGGCUCGCAUGCUAAGGCAGGAGCAGCGAGGUGGGACAGAAGGUGACGCUGGGUGCACUCACCCCCAUGUGUGGAAGCCCCCAGAUUCCCCCCUCCUCCCGGCUUCACCCACGUCCUGGCAGCCCUGUCUCCACGUCUCCAUCUGUCUCCUGCCCCGAGGCCCGGCCCCCUAGCCGUCUCCUCAGCAUCCUGAGCUUCCACACUGUCCUGUCUUGGCUCAGACACAACAGAUGGAUUCCCGCCCUUGAAGUGAUAAUUAGUUUCUCAUUACCGAGAGGUACCAUCCUGACAUGUCCUCAAAGUUUAAAAUAAAUUAAAGUUGGAAAAAAAACCCCAGACUGUUAAUGGUGUAAAUGAGCACGGAAGUAAGAGAAGGUCCCUCAGCUCCUAUUAAUGAUGGAGCCCUUCUGGUCCUAGAGAGAGGGAGGAGGUGGGCUUGACCCACAGGUGGCCUGUGUCUAUUCAGUAUUCUAUCUACCAUCACAUUUUUCUCAGCCCGUUUCUGCAUCUGGCCCAGAGCCCUUAGAGAGCUCACGGACUGGAGAGGAACCAGGGUGAUCACAGCCCUGUGCCGGAGGGGGUCUCGGUGAGGCCAGAGGGGGCUGUGGAAGGCGGUGGGAAUCAAGAAGGGCUUCGAGGAGGAGGGUCUCCCAGGAUGAGCCAUCAUCUGGCCACAGGGAAGCAAUGGGAACACAUGAUGAUGAGUAAGUGAAUGAACGAAUGAACGAAUGAACAAAUGGGUGCCCAUCCAACAGAGAGCAAGGAGGAGCAGCCAGCCCAGGCCCGGGUGGAAACGCGAGGCACCCUGAGUGGGAGGGCUGUAGUGUGAUAACUGCCACACACCUGUCCCUAUGGCCCUCUCCCUGCCACACCUAGCCUGAGCCGGCUGCAUGGGAGCCCUGCUCUGUCCUCUGCUCCGGGACACUGCUCAUCAUUCCUAGCAACAUCCCCCAGGGUGGCCUCAGUAUCCCCACGUGUACUUGUACCUGCCCCCUGGGGGUUGGCUGAGUUCAACAGAUUGAUAACGCAGACUCGGGCUAAUUAGCUAGAAAGGUGAAACCAAGGAGUACCGAAUGCACAAAAUACAGACUCGAGACAAAGCUAAGAUUCCACACUAAUAAUUAAGACACGGGCAUCCCGCUGCGGCCUCAGGGCCUUUGCACUUGCUCCUCUCGCAACCUGGAACUCUGCCCAGUGCAUCACUUGCUCCCGAAACACCUUUAGGAACUGCGUCCAACAUCCUUCCUGAUUUUAUUUUUCUCCACUCUAUACACCGCCACCUGAUUUCGCGUACACGUCAUUUCUUUUUUUUUCCAUCUCUCCCACUAGACCGUUGGCUACAUGAGAAUGGAGACCCCUGCUGGCUUGAGCCACCGCUGUGCCCUGGUGUCCGGAACCAGCCCGGCAUGCGAGGGCCUCAGUGAAUGUGCCCCGGAAACCACAAGUAAGGCGCCUGUCACAAUUGUCCCUCCUCCUGGGGUUUCUUCACAUGGCCCUGCACAGUGUGGCGUGCCCCUUCCUCCUGGGAACCGGGCUUUUCGGGGAGUGUGGUCUUACUGGAACACUCUCCUGUCGAUUGAGCAGGCUGCCACCCUCUAGCCCCGGCCACUCUGUGGGGAGGAGAGCGCCUGCCCUUUGGCUGCAAGUUGGUACCCUGGCCGGGAUGGUAAUGAGAUCCAGAAACUUGAUGUCCUGUCUUCACUCCUGUCCUUAGACAACGUUGUCUGCGUAGGGCAUGGGACAGCCACCUAAGCCACGAAGCCUAAGACUCCCAAGUGAGGUUUCCUCGUCAGGGGUCUAAGGCGAUCCCCUCCACAACUCUGGACUAGCCACCUCUGGCCGCAACAGCUCCACUGGGAGACAGCGGGAACCAGUACCUGAGUGAAUUAAAACCCAACUGGGGACCGUUCCCUAGGGGAGUUGCUUGUGAAGACUCUAUGGGUGGGACUGUCACUUGGACCAUGAUGGAUUUCCACCUGUGCUGCUUUCUGUCAAUGUCCUCUACUAACUACUACUGAAAUUACAAAACUGGGCAAUUGA